AAAGUCGGCUGCACUUGAAGUCGCUGAGCCAACUCGCAAGAGAGGCAGGCGCCUAUGGUGUGGUCGAUGAUUGGGGUG
This 78-nucleotide ribosomal RNA is filed under the name uncultured bacterium. RNAcentral describes it as "partial 16S ribosomal RNA". The record is from RNAcentral.